Long non-coding RNA from Bombyx mori (domestic silkworm), 682 nucleotides. RefSeq lists it as uncharacterized. The record is from RefSeq and is a predicted model, not a curated record. The transcript has 3 exons. NCBI's taxonomy places the organism in Eukaryota, Metazoa, Arthropoda, Insecta, Lepidoptera, Bombycidae.
GGUCCGGAGUGCGCACGCCGGGGACGCCUCCUUCAGUAAUUUAAUGUAUUAAACAAAAAUCAAAUCAAUAUAAUCAAACGAAAUUAGAAAACGAUAUCGUUAGAAUGUCAGUUUUCCAAUACACCCCUGAGUCGGAUAACAUACAUUCAAUACUUAGAUUCAUUCGGUAAUUAUAUAAUAGGUGAAUUGAAUGUACUAUAGAAAUAUACAUUUUGUGUGUUAUUGUGGUAAAACUCGGGGCAGAAGACUAUCCAAAGAUUCUAACACGAAACAUUCUUGCUUCAUGCUUUUAGGUACUUGUAAAUAUGGGUUUUAAAACUUUGUUUUUAACCGCAAGGAAUAUUUUAUUAUAUUAAUUGGUUCAUUUCCUAAAUGGACUUAGAUAAUCAACUUUAUCACAUCUUAGAGAGCCAAGAACGACGAAUAAGUGUGAACUAACAACCUAAGGGAGACGGGGACGUAUUUUGAAUCCAAUGGCCGUCUACACAGAAGCGGCCGACUAUCUGACCCUACAUAAUUACGAUAACAUUUUGAUUCAGAAUGCAAAUUAAGUUUCCCAGGCCUCCGGUCUCUGCUCAACGCUGUUUGAUUAUUAAUUUUAUUCAGUGAAGUCUUUUGCUUCAAAGAAAUUACGUUCCAUUUGAUAUGAAAUGGGAUCAUUAAAAAUAUUGUGCCCGUGAAA